UCUACAGUCUAUACUGAACCUGAAAUGGGUGGAAAGGAGGGUGGUGAGAUUAUAAAAUCUCAAUGAGUAAACAGACAUCAUCAUAAACAUCUAGAGUUGAGUACAUGGAGACAAUAAAGUAAAUCAUCGUAAACUAGGUCACAGCAUUAGAAUACAUUUCAUUUAAAAUACGUGAAGAGGCUUAUGAAUUUCAUAAAAACUAGGCUUGUGCCAUAAAUCCAUUCUCAAGGACACCUUGGCCGAGGCAUCCUACCGAGACCGCCAAGGCUAUUAAAAUUCACAUUUCACAUA
This 291-nucleotide long non-coding RNA is filed under the name Theobroma cacao (cacao). RNAcentral's name for it is "long non-coding RNA (TCAC_LNC004434)". The record is from RNAcentral. Lineage: Eukaryota; Viridiplantae; Streptophyta; Magnoliopsida; Malvales; Malvaceae.